AUUGAACGCUGGCGGCAGGCCUAACACAUGCAAGUCGAACGGUAACAGGAAGAAGCUUGCUUCUUUGCUGACGAGUGGCGGACGGGUGAGUAAUGUCUGGGAAACUGCCUGAUGGAGGGGGAUAACUACUGGAAACGGUAGCUAAUACCGCACAACGUCGCAAGACCAAAGAGGGGGACCUUCGGGCCUCUUGCCAUCGGAUGUGCCCAGAUGGGAUUAGCUAGUAGGUGGGGUAACGGCUCACCUAGGCGGCGAUUCCUAGCUGGUCUGAGAGGAUGACCAGCCACACUGGAACUGAGACACGGUCCAGACUCCUACGGGAGGCAGCAGUGGGGAAUAUUGCACAAUGGGCGCAAGCCUGAUGCAGCCAUGCCGCGUGUAUGAAGAAGGCCUUCGGGUUGUAAAGUACUUUCAGCGGGGAGGAAGGGAGGAAAGUUAAUACCUUUGCGUAUUGACGUUACCCGAAGAAGAAGCACCGGCUAACUUCGUG
This 490-nucleotide ribosomal RNA is filed under the name uncultured bacterium. RNAcentral's name for it is "partial 16S ribosomal RNA". It matches the Rfam family "Bacterial small subunit ribosomal RNA", at positions 30 to 507 of the family's 1533-position model. The record is from RNAcentral.